This 469-nucleotide ribosomal RNA is filed under the name uncultured Thermovirga sp. RNAcentral's name for it is "bacterial SSU rRNA". It matches the Rfam family "Bacterial small subunit ribosomal RNA", at positions 929 to 1382 of the family's 1533-position model. Lineage: Bacteria; Thermotogati; Synergistota; Synergistia; Synergistales; Thermovirgaceae. The record is from RNAcentral.
GCGGUGGAGCACGUUGGUUUAAUUCGAUGCAAACCGAAGAACCUUACCUGGGUUUGACAUGUACGUGUUACUGAUCUGAGAGGAGAGGGACCCAUGCUUCGGUAUGGGAGCGUACACAGGUGCUGCAUGGCUGUCGUCAGCUCGUGUCGUGAGAUGGUUGGGUUAACGUCCCGCAACGAGCGCCAACCCCUGCAUCCAGUUGCCAUCGGGCGAGCCGGGCACUCUGGAGGGACUGCCGGCGACAAGCCGGAGGAAGGUGGGGAUGACGUCAAGUCAUCAUGGCCCUUAUGUCCAGGGCGACACACGUGCUACAAUGGCCGGCACAGGCGGGAAGCGGAGGGGCGACCCUGAGCGGAUCCCUUGAAAGCCGGUCCCAGUUCGGAUUGCAGUCUGCAACUCGACUGCAUGAAGUUGGAAUCGCUAGUAAUCGCGGAUCAGCCAAGCCGCGGUGAAUACGUUCCCGGGCCUU